This 253-nucleotide ribosomal RNA is filed under the name uncultured bacterium. RNAcentral's name for it is "partial 16S ribosomal RNA". It matches the Rfam family "Bacterial small subunit ribosomal RNA", at positions 524 to 776 of the family's 1533-position model. The record is from RNAcentral.
UACGUAGGGGGCUAGCGCUGUCCGGAAUCAUUGGGCGUAAAGCGCGUGUAGGCGGUCCGGUAAGUCCGCUGUGAAAGUCGGGGGCUCAACCCUCGGAUGCCGGUGGAUACUGUCGGGCUUGAGUACGGAAGAGGCGAGUGGAAUUCCUGGUGUAGCGGUGAAAUGCGCAGAUAUCAGGAGGAACACCAAUUGCGAAGGCAGCUCGCUGGGACGUUACUGACGCUGAGACGCGAAAGCGUGGGGAGCAAACAGG